Molecule: non-coding RNA, 213 nt
Organism: Vicia faba (fava bean)
Lineage: Eukaryota; Viridiplantae; Streptophyta; Magnoliopsida; Fabales; Fabaceae
Source: the annotation of a GenBank genome assembly
AUGUCAUUGAUGAUUGUUCUUGACUUGAUUUUUGUUGUGAAUGAUCUGAUCUUUGUCGUGAUUGACGCAGAUAGUAAUUAUAAACAGUGUGAGAUGCUUGUUGUAGCACACUGCCCCGUGAUUGUAGCUGUGAGAAUUCUAUUCACUAUUAAGCAUGUGGUUGGUUUUGGUAGAUUCGUCUUGAUCAAUUUUGAAAUAGACAAGCAAAAUUAG